Non-coding RNA from Paramuricea clavata, 1676 nucleotides. NCBI's taxonomy places the organism in Eukaryota, Metazoa, Cnidaria, Anthozoa, Malacalcyonacea, Plexauridae. The record is from the annotation of a GenBank genome assembly.
CUUUGUAGUUUUACUAAUUUUAGUAUGCUCUUUCUAGCUGGGGUGAUUUAUUUGCAUCUCUUUGCUCAGUUUUAAAAUUAGUCUAUAAUGGGAAUUGUCUAUUGAAACAGACUUGCUGUGGGAUAGGGCGCUUUUUAUUAUAACUGACUCUGAAUAACUAUUAAUCAUGUACCAUGAAUUUUAGAGAAAUCAAAAUAUGGCAAAGUGCGUGUGUGGGGGGGGGGGGGGAUAAUUAGAUUUUAUCCCCCAACCCCAAAAAGUGCAUGUGUGGGGUUGGGGUGCAUCCGCACCAGUCCUCCUAAGACUGACGCCCUCCCAUGCAAAGCAACCAGGGGAAAGUGUAGACACUGUGAAAGAAUUUCUGAAAUUCUUGCUCAACGUCUCCUUUGUUCUUAAUCAAACUAAAUGUUUAAUCACCGCAAGGAAUUAAAUCAUGAAACAAAACGUGUUUUGUCAACUUAAACAAACUUAUUUCUCAAGCAUUGUAGUAAAACCAAGCUGUUUAAAUAUGCAAUUGCGUCAGACAUAAAUUUCAGUCUUACUACUACAGCAAAAAUCAGAUUCUUCACACACACAUCGCCUGAUCAUCAAGCAAGCAACAACUCUGGUUUGUAAGCAAGAGAUUUUUUAAAAAAUGAAGGUUUUCGUGCUCGGAGUGUUUCUGGUUCUAUUUCUCGCCACGUCCUUCGUUCGAUGUGAUGAGGACAAUGACAAUGAUUUAGAACGUCGCUUCUUUUUCAAAGUAAGUAAAUCUCAAUUUCUAUACAAUACACAAAUGACUGCAGUCAAAAUUCCAGGUAAAAAACAGUUUAAAACAUCGCACGAGAUAUUUCAAACUUAAUGGUAUUGUCGGGUUGCGAUAAAUCGAGUACUUUCGUACCGGAGGUAACCCAAUAUUAGGGUCUGGUAUACUUCUUUGUUUUCAGCCAAAUACCACGUAGAUACGCGGAACUGCUGGUUGCUAUCAGCGUACUACACUCUUUGCUAGUGGCAUAUGCCUUUCCCAAGCCCAAGAUAUCCAACACCGUAGUUAAGUCGGUAUAUGUAAGUCUGCCAUGUCUUGGCAUAAAACAUUAUAAUGGACCUCUAGUUCUAUUAACCGUGAAUGGACUGAUGCGACUAAGAAAUACUGAAAUCGAUUACCCAAAAUCAAUCAAUAUAACGAUAAAAAUGCUUUGUUUGGUGCAUUUCCAAUACGAAUCUGAUAAAAAAAAAAAAACUAGGAGUCUCAAAUUAUGGUUUAAAUAUACGACAAUAGCCCCUAAAGGCCCAUUUCCACUCAGGAAUAUUUUCCGCGGAAAGAAAAUUUUGUGAAAUGUGAUUGGCUGACACAAAUUUUCCGUCGGAAAAAAAUUUUGAAGUCGAAAAUUUUCAACUUUUAACAAUGAUAUUUUCCGAAAAUGUUUUAUCCGUGGAAAUUUUUCUUGAGUGGAAAUGGGUCUUAAGAUGUAAAGAUUAUGAAAUUAAAAUUAAGAAUUAAUUACCCUACCUGACUAAAACGAUAUUUUCCCCCUCAUCGUUUUCAUUUUAGAAACGUUGUACAAGCCACCAAGAGUGUUUUGAACAUCAAUAUUGUUGCCGAGGGCAAGGCUGGUACAGAUACUGUACAAAUCUGCCUAGAUGUUCCAGAUACCGUCGAUGUCCUCAUGGUGCUGUCUGCAAAAGGUAAACAAAGU